Oryzias latipes (Japanese medaka) is the source of this 75-nucleotide non-coding RNA. The record is from Rfam. NCBI's taxonomy places the organism in Eukaryota, Metazoa, Chordata, Actinopteri, Beloniformes, Adrianichthyidae.
CCAUACAUACCCUGUAGAACCGAAUGUGUGUGGAGCUGCCUCAGUCACAGAUUGGGUUCUAGGGGAGUCUAUGGG